UCAGGCGGCCGGAUGGCCGCCUCCCGCGAUGCGGGGGGAGGAAAGUCCGGGCUCCACGGAAACACGGUGCCGGGUAACGCCCGGNNNNNNNNNNGGCAAACCCCACCGGGAGCAAGACCGAGUAGGGGCGGCACGGGGCUCCGGCCCCGGGCGGGUUUCCGCGCCGCCGCCCGGGUAGGUCGCGCGAGGCGCCCGGCGACGGGCGUCCCAGAUGAAUGGCCAUCCCCCGCGCGCGGGGACAGAACCCGGCUUACAGGCCGCCUGACGCU
RNAcentral lists this RNase P RNA (269 nucleotides) under Defluviicoccus sp. Its description in RNAcentral is "RNase P RNA component class A". It matches the Rfam family "Bacterial RNase P class A". Rfam says of the family: Ribonuclease P (RNase P) is a ubiquitous endoribonuclease, found in archaea, bacteria and eukarya as well as chloroplasts and mitochondria. Its best characterised activity is the generation of mature 5'-ends of tRNAs by cleaving the 5'-leader elements of precursor-tRNAs. The record is from RNAcentral. Lineage: Bacteria; Pseudomonadati; Pseudomonadota; Alphaproteobacteria; Rhodospirillales; Rhodospirillaceae.